RNAcentral lists this ribosomal RNA (207 nucleotides) under uncultured bacterium. RNAcentral describes it as "partial 16S ribosomal RNA". It matches the Rfam family "Bacterial small subunit ribosomal RNA", at positions 568 to 774 of the family's 1533-position model. The record is from RNAcentral.
CGUGUAGGCGGCUUUUUAAGUGUGGAGUGAAAGUCCACUUUUCAAGGGUGGAAUUGCUUUGCAGACUGGAGAGCUUGAGUGCGGAAGAGGUAAGUGGAAUUCCCAGUGUAGCGGUGAAAUGCGUAGAGAUUGGGAGGAACACCAGUGGCGAAGGCGACUUACUGGGCCGUAACUGACGCUGAGGCGCGAAAGCGUGGGGAGCGAACA